Molecule: ribosomal RNA, 391 nt
Filed under: uncultured bacterium
Lineage: Bacteria
Description: bacterial SSU rRNA
Rfam family: Bacterial small subunit ribosomal RNA
Source: RNAcentral
GACGAACGCUGGCGGCGUGCUUAACACAUGCAAGUCGAGCGGUAAGGCCCUUUCGGGGGUACACGAGCGGCGAACGGGUGAGUACCACGUGGGUGACCUGCCCUCAGCUCUGGGAUAAGCCUGGGAAACCGGGUCUAAUACUGGAUAUGACUCCAUGACGCAUGUUGUGGGGUGGAAAGCCUUGUGCGGCUGAGGAUGGGCCCGCGGCCUAUCAGCUUGUUGGUGGGGUGANGGCCUACCAAGGCGACGACGGGUAGCCGGCCUGAGAGGGCGACCGGCCACACUGGGACUGAGACACGGCCCAGACUCCUACGGGAGGCAGCAGUGGGGAAUCUUGCGCAAUGGGCGAAAGCCUGACGCAGCGACGCCGCGUGAGGGAUGACGGCCUCGG